RNAcentral lists this ribosomal RNA (465 nucleotides) under Vreelandella stevensii. RNAcentral's name for it is "partial 16S ribosomal RNA". It matches the Rfam family "Bacterial small subunit ribosomal RNA", at positions 338 to 795 of the family's 1533-position model. Lineage: Bacteria; Pseudomonadati; Pseudomonadota; Gammaproteobacteria; Oceanospirillales; Halomonadaceae. The record is from RNAcentral.
CCUACGGGAGGCUGCAGUGGGGAAUAUUGGACAAUGGGGGGAACCCUGAUCCAGCCAUGCCGCGUGUGUGAAGAAGGCCCUCGGGUUGUAAAGCACUUUCAGUGAGGAAGAACGCCUGGUGGUUAAUACCCAUCAGGAAAGACAUCACUCACAGAAGAAGCACCGGCUAACUCCGUGCCAGCAGCCGCGGUAAUACGGAGGGUGCGAGCGUUAAUCGGAAUUACUGGGCGUAAAGCGCGCGUAGGUGGCUUGAUAAGCCGGUUGUGAAAGCCUCGGGCUCAACCUGGGAACGGCAUCCGGAACUGUCAAGCUAGAGUGCAGGAGAGGAAGGUAGAAUUCCCGGUGUAGCGGUGAAAUGCGUAGAGAUCGGGAGGAAUACCAGUGGCGAAGGCGGCCUUCUGGACUGACACUGACACUGAGGUGCGAAAGCGUGGGUAGCAAACAGGAUUAGAUACCCCGGUAGUC